RNAcentral lists this long non-coding RNA (695 nucleotides) under Triticum aestivum (bread wheat). Its description in RNAcentral is "long non-coding RNA (TAES_LNC003114)". The record is from RNAcentral. Lineage: Eukaryota; Viridiplantae; Streptophyta; Magnoliopsida; Poales; Poaceae.
UGAUUCUUCUUAAAUUUAUCACCCUCUCAUCGAACUCAAGUUGUACAGCAACUCACUCGGAUAUUUGCUGUAGUAGUGGCCUGCGGACUUCUAUUGGUUUGCGAGUUGGACUUGAGUCUCUUUAAAUUUUUGAAACUGGUACAAGCAAUACAAACAGUAAUGAGAGCAGAAAUCUCUAGAUGAAUAAGAACAGAGCAUCAGAAGAUUCAUCAAAUUCAUACAGAAAAUGCCGGAUCAGGGGGCAGAGCAUGGGGUGGCCAACAUGCGACUCUUUUUUGAGUGACCGGUGGCGGAGCAAGAAGUCGGACUGAUGACCUGUAGAUCUUCCAGUUGACUAGCCCCAGCAACCACAUUGGCAGUUGUAUGAACGACACCAAUUGAACGGGCUUUGGUGGUGGUGACGAACGGCCUGGCGACUCAGUUUGAACGGACUGUGACCUUUGGCGGCAGGGGGUGACGUCGCAGCGGCAGUAGUGACGCGUGGUGGAUUAGGGAGGCGCGGAGGAAUGCGACCAACAGUGACGCACGACGGCCAGGUUGCCGGCGGCUGCACGCUUUGGUCUCGGGAGGAGCAAGGAUGAGUUGCGAGAGGGCUUGCCGGCGUUGACCGGGAGGCGAGCUAGACAACGUUGGGGGUCCGGAAGGAAUUGGGGACGAGGUGGCAUCUUGAUCUAGUAGAUAUGGGGGUGGGGCGG